Molecule: ribosomal RNA, 1536 nt
Filed under: uncultured bacterium
Lineage: Bacteria
Description: bacterial SSU rRNA
Rfam family: Bacterial small subunit ribosomal RNA
Source: RNAcentral
GAGUUUGAUCCUGGCUCAGAACGAACGCUGGCGGCGUGCCUAACACAUGCAAGUCGAACGAGAAACCCUGUAGCAAUACGGGGGAGUAAAGUGGCGAACGGGUGAGUAAUGCGUGGGUAACCUGCCUCAGAGAUCGGAAUAACCCCGCGAAAGUGGGGCUAAUACCGGAUAAGACCACAGGCCGAGAGGUCAGAGGUAAAAAGGUGGCCUAUGACCCGCAAGGGUUAUGCUGCCGCUUGGAGAGGGGCUCACGUCCCAUCAGCUAGUUGGUAGGGUAACGGCUUACCAAGGCAGCGACGGGUAGCUGGUCUGAGAGGACGAUCAGCCACAUUGGCACUGAGACACGGGCCAGACUCCUACGGGAGGCAGCAGUGAGGAAUAUUGGGCAAUGGGGGAAACCCUGACCCAGCGACGCCGCGUGAGGGAAGAAGGCCUUCGGGUCGUAAACCUCUUUUAGUCGGAAAGAAACCCCCGCCGUAAAUAGCGACGGGGAUGACGGUACCGGCGGAAUAAGCCACGGCUAACUCUGUGCCAGCAGCCGCGGUAAGACAGAGGUGGCGAGCGUUGUUCGGAGUUACUGGGCGUAAAGAGCAUGUAGGCGGCUGGAUAAGUUCCACGUGAAAGCCCUCCGCUUAACGGAGGAACGGCGCGGAAGACUAUUCGGCUAGAGGGUUGGAGAGGAGAGCGGAAUUCCUGGUGUAGCGGUGAAAUGCAUAGAUAUCAGGAGGAACACCGGUGGCGAAGGCGGCUCUCUGGACAACACCUGACGCUCAAGAGCGAAAGCGUGGGGAGCGAACGGGAUUAGAUACCCCGGUAGUCCACGCCCUAAACGAUGGGCACUCAGUGUGGGAGGUGUCGACCCCUUCCGUGCUGCAGCUAACGCAGUAAGUGCCCCGCCUGGGGAGUACGGCCGCAAGGUUGAAACUCAAAGGAAUUGACGGGGGCCCGCACAAGCGGUGGAGCAUGUGGUUUAAUUCGACGCAACGCGAAGAACCUUACCUGGGCUUGACAUGCUGGUAGUAAGGAUCUGAAAGGUGAAUGAGCCCCGCAAGGGGAAGCCAGCACAGGUGCUGCAUGGCUGUCGUCAGCUCGUGCCGUGAGGUGUUGGGUUAAGUCCCGCAACGAGCGCAACCCUCGCCCUCUGUUUGCCACCGGGUCAUGCCGGGCACUCUGAGGGGACUGCGCCGGAUAACGGCGAGGAAGGUGAGGACGACGUCAAGUCAUCAUGGCCCUUAUGUCCAGGGCGACACACGUGCUACAAUGGUCGGUACAAAGAGUCGCAAUCCCGUAAGGAGGAGCCAAUCUCAAAAAGCCGGCCUCAGUUCAGAUCGAGGUCUGCAAUUCGACCUCGUGAAGGUGGAAUCGCUAGUAAUCGCGCAUCAGAACGGCGCGGUGAAUACGUUCCCGGGCCUUGUACACACCGCCCGUCACACCACGAAAGUCCGUUGUACCAGAAGUCGGUGGGCUAACCCCGCAAGGGGAGGCAGCCGCCCAAGGUAUGGCUGGUGAUUGGGGUGAAGUCGUAACAAGGUAACC